Molecule: ribosomal RNA, 254 nt
Filed under: uncultured bacterium
Lineage: Bacteria
Description: partial 16S ribosomal RNA
Rfam family: Bacterial small subunit ribosomal RNA
Source: RNAcentral
AACGUAGGGGGCGAGCGUUGUCCGGAUUUAUUGGGCGUAAAGAGCUCGUAGGCGGCUCAGUAAGUCAGGUGUGAAAACUCCAGGCUCAACCUGGAGACGCCACCUGAUACUGCUGUGGCUAGAGUCCGGUAGGGGAGCAUGGAAUUCCUGGUGUAGCGGUGAAAUGCGCAGAUAUCAGGAGGAACACCAGUGGCGAAGGCGGUGCUCUGGGCCGGAACUGACGCUGAGGAGCGAAAGCGUGGGGAGCAAACAGG